RNAcentral lists this long non-coding RNA (214 nucleotides) under Salvia miltiorrhiza (redroot sage). Its description in RNAcentral is "long non-coding RNA (SMIL_LNC002953)". Lineage: Eukaryota; Viridiplantae; Streptophyta; Magnoliopsida; Lamiales; Lamiaceae. The record is from RNAcentral.
GGGGAGAGAGCUAUGAGAUUUGAACCAUAAACCUCACUAUUCAUAAAUUUAAAAUCAUAUAAUAGCUCAUUUUUUGAUUGCUCAAUUAAAAAUAGAUUAUUUAUAUAAAAGAUAAUAUUUAAUUUUUAAAAAUUUGUGUGUUCUACUCAUUUUAUCUAAUAUUUUUUUUAUUUUUUGUGCUAAAAAAUGGUGAGUCAUGUUUAAUUGAACAGAC